CCUACGGGAGACAGCAGUGGGGAAUAUUGGGCAAUGGAGGCAACUCUGACCCAGCAAUGCCGCGUGAAUGAAGAAGGUUUUCGGAUUGUAAAGUUCUUUAAUCAGGGACGAAGAAGAUGACGGUACCUGAGGAAUAAGCCACGGCAAACUAUGUGCCAGCAGCCGCGGUAAUACAUAGGUGGCAAGCGUUGUCCGGAAUGACUGGGCGUAAAGGGUGCGCAGGCGGAAGCGGCAAGUCAGCGGUAAAAUUGCGGGGCUCAACCUCGCCGAGCCGUUGAAACUGCUCUUCUAGAGUGGGCGAGAGGUAUGCGGAAUGCGUGGUGUAGCGGUGAAAUGCGUAGAUAUCACGCAGAACUCCAGUGGCGAAGGCAGCAUACCGG
This 380-nucleotide ribosomal RNA is filed under the name uncultured bacterium. RNAcentral's name for it is "partial 16S ribosomal RNA". It matches the Rfam family "Bacterial small subunit ribosomal RNA", at positions 338 to 732 of the family's 1533-position model. The record is from RNAcentral.